This 105-nucleotide microRNA precursor is filed under the name Marmota monax (woodchuck). The record is from RNAcentral. Lineage: Eukaryota; Metazoa; Chordata; Mammalia; Rodentia; Sciuridae.
AUGUUUGACUCACUGGAGAUCUUGUUAAAAACAGAUUUUGAUUCAGUCGCCCAGGGGUAGGGUCCAGGAUUCUGUAUUUCUAACAAGCUCCUAUAUGUUGUGGAU